Long non-coding RNA from Manacus vitellinus (golden-collared manakin), 1464 nucleotides. RefSeq lists it as uncharacterized. The record is from RefSeq and is a predicted model, not a curated record. The transcript has 4 exons. NCBI's taxonomy places the organism in Eukaryota, Metazoa, Chordata, Aves, Passeriformes, Pipridae.
AGGAGCAAAAUCCUUCUGUUUCCCAGUCAGUGGGCACUUGUGUGCCAUAAAAAUUUCUGUGCUCCAUCUAAAUUUAAUUGUAUUGCUAAAAUACAGCACCUGGCAUUAUCACAUAGAAUCACAGAAUCAGCUGGGUUGGGAAAGACCUUCACGAUAAAGUCCAACCCUUGGUCCACCACCACCACGCUUACUAGACUAUGGCACUGCAUGCCACAUCCAGGCUCAUCUUAAAAACCUCCAGGGACGGUGAAUUCACCACCUCCCCGGGCAGCCCAUUCCAAUGUCUGAUUACUCUCUCUGUAAAAAAUUUCUUCCUAAUAUCCAGCCUAAACCUCCCCUGGCAAAGCUUAAGACCAUGUGUGUGGCUGUCCCACCACUCCAAAGGCAGGAGACACUUCCAGCCCUUUGCCCACCUCCCCAGCACUUUCUUCCUCUCAUAAUUAAUUCCUGCCCUUGCCAGCUCACUGAUGUCCUCACAGAGAACAAUGUCCAAGUUCAUGACCGCCCCGAACCCACGCCGUGUUCCCGUGCUGUGUGGGGCACUUAAUCCACAGGGCAGGGCAGGGUGUUGGCAGCUGAUGCUGUCCCUGGUGCCUUCUCACUCUUAAUAACCCUGCCAAAGGUACGUUUCAUUUGAGUUAGGAGUUUGUGUGUACCAGUCAUGUCAAGUGUAAAAAUAAUCCUUUUCCCGUAACACAACUGCAAAGAUCAUUUCUCAAGCCAGUAAUUUUGACCACACGUCUCUUUACUUUCUUGAUUUGCUUUCAAGGUCAUUCUUUGGCUACCUCACCUAUGAUUCAUUAUGAGAUGACAACUCUCAACAAUUCCUGACACCAACUUACACCACCCGCUUGUUUUGUUUUUGGAUAAAUAGCUCUAUGUUUUCUUUCAUUCUGACUCUCAGGUAUGGGAAAGGAUAUUUUUUGGAGUCUCCAGUAACUCAAUUUGGAAGCUGGCAUGCCGAGUCUUGUGCUUGCUGUAUUGAUUGUUAAUGCCUCAUUAUUUUUUCAUACUUCUCUAUCUGUUCACUGCCUGCUCACCAUGUGUUUAAACUGCACUCUUUUUGUUUUGUGUUUUUACAGCAUCUAACAUGGUGUGUUCCUGUCCGUGAUUAGAGCUCCAAAGUGUUAUGGCAAUACAAUGAAUAAGUUGCAACUGCGGAAAUCAACUGUACAGGGAAAUCAAGUCCCCUCUUCAUGUCUCUUGAUCUUCACCAGACUUGAAGAACCUGUAGUUCUUGGAGCUGGAGUUUCCACAAGCGGCUACAAUGUCUGUAAUAUAAAGCAAUUAAGCGAUUGGUAGUUGUAUUGUUGAGCCAAAUGGAGGGACAAAUAUGUCAUCUGCUGCUGAAGGACUGAGGGACAAGGAGUAGGUUCCUGUAAGUGUCUGUGAAAUUCCACAAAGAGUGAUAUUAUUAACUCAGUAUCAUCUGUCUGGGGGGAUUUCCAGCAGCUAAUGACUUUG